GACGAACGCUGGCGGCGUGCUUAACACAUGCAAGUCGAACGGAAAGGCCCGGCUUUGGUGGGGUGCUCGAGGUGCGAACGGGUGAGUAACACGUGAGUAACCUGCCCUUGACUUUGGGAUAACUUCAGGAAACUUGGGCUAAUACCGGAUAGGAUCUCCUGCUGCAGGGUGGGGGUGGGAAGGUUUCGGCGGUUGGGGGUGGACUGGCCGCUUAUCAGAUUGUUUGUUGGGUAGUGGAUUACCAAGGCUUGGACGGGUAGCCGGGCUGGUAGGGUGAGCGGACCAGUCGGGCUUGGACUGCGGCCCAGCCCAGUACGGGAGGCAGCAGUGGGGAAUAGUGUACAAUGGGAGGAAGCAUGGUGCAGCAAAGCAGCGUGGGGGAUGACGGCAAUGGGGUUGUAAUCCGAAUUCGCCUGUGACGAAGCGAGAGUGACGGUAAUGGGUAAAGAAGCACCGGCUAACUACGUG
RNAcentral lists this ribosomal RNA (468 nucleotides) under uncultured bacterium. Its description in RNAcentral is "partial 16S ribosomal RNA". It matches the Rfam family "Bacterial small subunit ribosomal RNA", at positions 28 to 507 of the family's 1533-position model. The record is from RNAcentral.